AGCGAACGCUGGCGGCAGGCUUAACACAUGCAAGUCGAGCGCCGUAGCAAUACGGAGCGGCAGACGGGUGAGUAACACGUGGGAACGUACCUUUUGGUUCGGAACAACACAGGGAAACUUGUGCUAAUACCGGAUAAGCCCUUACGGGGAAAGAUUUAUCGCCGAAAGAUCGGCCCGCGUCUGAUUAGCUAGUUGGUGAGGUAACGGCUCACCAAGGCGACGAUCAGUAGCUGGUCUGAGAGGAUGAUCAGCCACACUGGGACUGAGACACGGCCCAGACUCCUACGGGAGGCAGCAGUGGGGAAUAUUGGACAAUGGGCGCAAGCCUGAUCCAGCCAUGCCGCGUGAGUGAUGAAGGCCCUAGGGUUGUAAAGCUCUUUUGUGCGGGAAGAUAAUGACUGUACCGCAAGAAUAAGCCCCGGCUAACUUCGUGCCAGCAGCCGCUGUAAG
Molecule: ribosomal RNA, 450 nt
Filed under: uncultured bacterium
Lineage: Bacteria
Description: bacterial SSU rRNA
Rfam family: Bacterial small subunit ribosomal RNA
Source: RNAcentral